Molecule: ribosomal RNA, 666 nt
Filed under: Isothecium cardotii
Lineage: Eukaryota; Viridiplantae; Streptophyta; Bryopsida; Hypnales; Lembophyllaceae
Description: eukaryotic LSU rRNA
Rfam family: 5.8S ribosomal RNA (bases 248-400)
Source: RNAcentral
GCGGCGAACGAACACAUUGUCCCCCCCGGUUGGUCGUGGCGCCUCGCGGCGUCGCGGCCGGCCAACUCCCUUCGCCACGUCACGUCACGAGCUCGCUCGCGUGCGCGCGCGGCGUCGGGUUUCCACGCGAUGCCUUCACCUUGACCGAAUGACUGAGUCCCUUAACACUUAGAGAGGAGCGCCGAGUGCCGUCCCCCUUAGGGUGGUCGGCGCUGGUUCCCUCGCGAGUUGAAACAUAACCAAAAACAACUCUCAGCAACGGAUAUCUUGGCUCUUGCAACGAUGAAGAACGCAGCGAAAUGCGAUACGUAGUGUGAAUUGCAGAAUUCCGCGAAUCAUCGAGUCUUUGAACGCAAGUUGCGCCCGAGGCUUGUCCAAGGGCAUUUCCGCUAGAGCGUCACCGCGCCCCCCACCGAUCCACUCCCGCCGGGAGUCGGGUCGAGUGGAAGUGGCCAUCCCCGGUGGGCCUUCUUUUUUGAGGAAGGCCUUAGGGGUUGGCUGAAAUGGAAGGAAUCGGGCCGCCGUGGUGACACAGUCCGCGAUCGGGUGAUUUUCGGGCUCCUCCGUGAGUCCGGAAUUUUUCUAAGUGCGUGGCUGCGUCCCCCAGUCGGUCGUGGUGUUACCUCAUGCAGGUCGAGCGCGCCCCCGCGGCGCGCGUCACGCAUC